RNAcentral lists this non-coding RNA (69 nucleotides) under Lactimicrobium massiliense. RNAcentral's name for it is "TPP riboswitch (THI element)". It matches the Rfam family "TPP riboswitch aptamer (THI element)", at positions 7 to 92 of the family's 105-position model. From Rfam's summary of the family: Vitamin B(1) in its active form thiamin pyrophosphate (TPP) is an essential coenzyme that is synthesised by coupling of pyrimidine and thiazole moieties in bacteria. The previously detected thiamin-regulatory element, thi box was extended, resulting in a new, highly conserved RNA secondary structure, the THI element, which is widely distributed in eubacteria and also occurs in some archaea. The record is from RNAcentral. Lineage: Bacteria; Bacillati; Bacillota; Erysipelotrichia; Erysipelotrichales; Erysipelotrichaceae.
GAACAGGGGUGCAUUUGCUGAGAAUUACCCUUAUCACCUGAUCUAGGUAAUACUAGCGUAGGGAGUUCC